GGACUACACGGGUUUCUAAUCCUGUUUGCUCCCCACGCUUUCGCACCUCAGCGUCAGUAUCGGGCCAGUGAGCCGCCUUCGCCACUGGUGUUCUUGCGAAUAUCUACGAAUUUCACCUCUACACUCGCAGUUCCACUCACCUCUCCCGAACUCAAGCCUCUCAGUAUCAAGGGCAGUUCUGGAGUUGAGCUCCAGGAUUUCACCCCUGACUUAAAAGACCGCCUACGUGCGCUUUACGCCCAGUGAUUCCGAGCAACGCUAGCCCCCUUCGUAUUACCGCGGCUGCUGGCAC
Molecule: ribosomal RNA, 292 nt
Filed under: uncultured Alphaproteobacteria bacterium
Lineage: Bacteria; Pseudomonadati; Pseudomonadota; Alphaproteobacteria
Description: partial 16S ribosomal RNA
Source: RNAcentral